GUGAGUAAUGUCUGGGAAACUGCCUGAUGGAGGGGGAUAACUACUGGAAACGGUAGCUAAUACCGCAUAACGUCGCAAGACCAAAGUGGGGGACCUUCGGGCCUCAUGCCAUCAGAUGUGCCCAGAUGGGAUUAGCUAGUAGGUGGGGUAACGGCUCACCUAGGCGACGAUCCCUAGCUGGUCUGAGAGGAUGACCAGCCACACUGGAACUGAGACACGGUCCAGACUCCUACGGGAGGCAGCAGUGGGGAAUAUUGCACAAUGGGCGCAAGCCUGAUGCAGCCAUGCCGCGUGUAUGAAGAAGGCCUUCGGGUUGUAAAGUACUUUCAGCGGGGAGGAAGGCGAUAAGGUUAAUAACCUUGUCGAUUGACGUUACCCGCAGAAGAAGCACCGGCUAACUCCGUGCCAGCAGCCGCGGUAAUACGGAGGGUGCAAGCGUUAAUCGGAAUUACUGGGCGUAAAGCGCACGCAGGCGGUCUGUCAAGUCGGAUGUGAAAUCCCCGGGCUCAACCUGGGAACUGCAUUCGAAACUGGCAGGCUAGAGUCUUGUAGAGGGGGGUAGAAUUCCAGGUGUAGCGGUGAAAUGCGUAGAGAUCUGGAGGAAUACCGGUGGCGAAGGCGGCCCCCUGGACCAAGACUGACGCUCAGGUGCGAAAGCGUGGGGAGCAACAGGAUAGAUACCCUGGUAGUCACGCCGUAACGAUGUCGUUUGGAGGUGUGCCUUGAGGCUGGCUCCGGAGCUACGCGUUAA
RNAcentral lists this ribosomal RNA (751 nucleotides) under Klebsiella pneumoniae. RNAcentral describes it as "bacterial SSU rRNA". It matches the Rfam family "Bacterial small subunit ribosomal RNA", at positions 106 to 863 of the family's 1533-position model. The record is from RNAcentral. Lineage: Bacteria; Pseudomonadati; Pseudomonadota; Gammaproteobacteria; Enterobacterales; Enterobacteriaceae.